RNAcentral lists this ribosomal RNA (253 nucleotides) under uncultured bacterium. RNAcentral describes it as "partial 16S ribosomal RNA". It matches the Rfam family "Bacterial small subunit ribosomal RNA", at positions 524 to 776 of the family's 1533-position model. The record is from RNAcentral.
UACGUAGGGUGCGAGCGUUAAUCGGAAUUACUGGGCGUAAAGCGUGCGCAGGCGGUCAUGCAAGACGGAUGUGAAAUCCCCGGGCUCAACCUGGGAACUGCAUUCGUGACUGCAUGACUGGAGUGUGGCAGAGGGGAAUGGAAUUCCGCGUGUAGCAGUGAAAUGCGUAGAUAUGCGGAGGAACACCGAUGGCGAAGGCAGUUCCCUGGGCCUGCACUGACGCUCAUGCACGAAAGCGUGGGGAGCAAACAGG